RNAcentral lists this unclassified non-coding RNA (519 nucleotides) under uncultured Glomeromycotina. RNAcentral describes it as "SSU rRNA". It matches the Rfam family "Eukaryotic small subunit ribosomal RNA", at positions 571 to 1092 of the family's 1831-position model. Lineage: Eukaryota; Fungi; Glomeromycota. The record is from RNAcentral.
CAGCCGCGUAAUUCCAGCUCCAAUAGCGUAUAUUAAAGUUGUUGCAGUUAAAAAGCUCGUAGUUGAAUUUCGGGGUUAGUAGGUUGGUCAUGCCUCUGGUAUGUACUGAUCUCACUGAUUCCUCCUUCCUUAUGAACCGUAAUGCCAUUAAUUUGGUGUUGCGGGGAAUUUGGACUGUUACUUUGAAAAAAUUAGAGUGUUUAAAGCAGGCUAACGCUUGAAUACAUUAGCAUGGAAUAAUGAAAUAGGACGUUCGAUCUUAUUUUGUUGGUUUCUAGGAUUGACGUAAUGAUUAAUAGGGAUAGUUGGGGGCAUUAGUAUUCAAUUGUCAGAGGUGAAAUUCUUGGAUUUAUUGAAGACUAACUACUGCGAAAGCAUUUGCCAAGGAUGUUUUCAUUAAUCAAGAACGAAAGUUAGGGGAUCGAAGACGAUCAGAUACCGUCGUAGUCUUAACCAUAAACUAUGCCGACUAGGGAUCGGAUGAUGUUAAUUUUUUAAUGACUCAUUCGGCGCCUUACG